AGCAUAUUAUUCUUGUAGUAUUUAGUUCAGUAGAUUUAAAAAAAAAUGUAUCCUUUGCUUUGGAAGCUUACAAAACAACCCUAAUGCUGUUUUACUCUAUUAAUAUGCAUGGAAUCUCUCCCUUUGGAGUGACGCAUUUUGUGCAUUAAAUUCUAGGGAGAAACUUCAUAGAAAUCAAUGAACAUACUUUCUUUCUUAAGUCUGCUUGUAUAUUUCCUCUGUCUUUCACAUAAAUAUAAACCAGCAGAUUGGAUGCCUUAACAAUGCAAAUCAUAUUCAUUUCACUUGUACAUUGUAACUGUGCACCAGAACUGUCAGUCAUCACUAACAUUCUAAGAAAAAAGAAAAAGAAAAAAAGAAAAAAAAAAAAACAAAGAAAUCGAAAAGCACAAAAGAACUGUUUUGUUACCUUAAGACAAUGUAACUUUUUCUAGUAGAGCAAGAAAUCAUUUACAACAAUGCUGCAACUGUGCAUGCCCCCAUAUGGAUUUUGCAAUGGUUUUCACUAGGCUGUCAAGAGUGCGAUUUUUAUGGGUUGGGGUGGGUGGGGGAGGGGAGUUGUGGGAGGGUAGGGGAGGGAGGAAAGCUGUUUUUCAUGGUGAGAAAUAAUAAUGAUGACUAAUAAUAAUAAAAAAAACUGGAAAAUGUAAGCAAGGUGGACGCAUUGCUUCUCGGUACUCAGAAAGGUUAUCUGAAUUUGCGUGGUAAGCGCUGGCCUGAAGAUGUACACAAGUUAAAGCCAUAUUUUAUCUGGUGAGCCCCUUAACUGUUUCUGAAGGAAUGAACGGUCAGCCGGGAAGGUGUCCGGCUUAGACCUUGACAACAGACACUACCCAUCUGUCAGCCAUGUGCAGUGGUUAGAACUCUUCUUGAAAGUCCAAAGAGCCUUUAAAAUGUGUAUAAUUUGUGUUUUGUUGCUUCUAUUUCUAUUGAUUAGAUGAAAAGACAUUCUGGCCCUCUGAUCCUCUUUCUUCUCCACAAAAGUUUUACAAAUAAAAGAUGUUCCCCUAAAUACAGAAUAUGGCUUUAAGAAGAAAAUGAAAUGAAGAAUUAAAUUAAGAUUUCAGUGUUGGGGGAAAAAAUACAGCUUCUGGAUGACUGGAUUGCAUAACAUUGCCCUGGCCUCACAUUGUACUAGGAUGCAGCUUAAAUGAAGUCAUCUCUAAAUCUACUAACCUUUCACCUUCUUAUCAAAACUUUUUGAAUAGACACACACUGUACAGUUCAAUUGUUAGAGAACCUAACUACUGUAGAGAUUGUUAAAUUUUUUUUUUUUUUUUGCAAAAAUUCAAGCUGUAAAAACUUUUCAACUUUCACAAUAUUUAAUUAAAGUUACUUCCUGUUUGUG
Molecule: long non-coding RNA, 1348 nt
Filed under: Homo sapiens (human)
Lineage: Eukaryota; Metazoa; Chordata; Mammalia; Primates; Hominidae
Description: non-protein coding lnc-EBF1-3:1
Source: RNAcentral